ACUACUGAAAACACAGACCAAAGACCACCACGCUUUAUUACCGAGAAAAAUAAAAACAGAAAUAAAAAAAGCAAAGAAAAACCGUUAAUGGUGUCACAAAGAAAGAGAAGGGAGAGAUAUAACUGUGGAAAUCAAACCAAAGCUAGCAUACAGAGCUGCAGUUUCAAUCAAAAAAGAAAGAAAAAAAAUAGAGAGCUGCAGAAGCAGAAGUGAAUUGCAUGUGGAGGGCAGCUCAUCGGCUCCUAAAAAGAAAAGGCAUUCGGAGGAGGGAACAAACGGAUUUUGUAGUCUCCCAAGGGAUCUUCUCCUCCUUCCUUACAACCCAUCAUUAUUCUUCUCCCACUGUUGCUCAUGGACAAAUGUACUAUAUUGGAGGUCCACUGAUAGGCCUGGUGGGCACCCAUAUGUAUAUAGGUGGUCAAUUGUGAAUUAAUAUGCACUCUCUAAUAUAUUGUAAUGGUACGUACUUAUUAGUACAAGAAAUUGUUUCUUGUAAAACUUGAGUAAGAGUAUCCUAUCACAUCAUGACAAUUUGUAUUUUGAAUUUAGUUAACUUCAGUGGCGGAGUCGGAGUUUUAUAACAAUAGGGUCAUAAUUUUGGUACAAAAAAAAAACUUCAUUGAAUCAUUUCGUCGAGCUUCUGGUGGGUACCCUUUGAGUUAUGUUGCGUUCUUCUGAGGCCUAUCAAGUGAGGUUUUUUUUUAUCAAAUGUUGUUGCACAUCAUAAGGUCGCAUACAAGAAAUAGAAAAAGAUGACAAAAGAAAGAAAGAAGAAAAUCUACAACUGUACAUAAGAAGCCGCAGCUGUAUAUAUGGGUCAUACACAAAUAUAUAUAUAUAUGUAAAAAUAUAAUGGAUGUAUUAAGCUAUUUACCUAUGAUCCCAUACUCCGCCACUGAUUAACACUAUUAUGAUUUCUUUUAGUGUGAGAAUUGCGCUAGUUAAUAACCUUAACUAACCAAAUUUGUUUCCUACAACAAUGUGUAGGAAUUAUCAUUUUAUGUAUCUUACAUGUAAAAGUGAUGUACAGUAAUUAAACAAAAGAAACAUUCACACAGUUGUGAGUGUGAGGGAAAACAAGAUGACAGGAAUGGAGACUGGUUUGAGUAGUCAAGGUAGGGAUAGGUGGCGAGUGGGUCCCACUCACCCACACCAAUUGUCACAGACCAGUGAUGAGGCAGUGACCACACCCAGCAGGCCACAGCCCACCCCCACCACCAUCGGACAACACAAGAGAUUCCAGUUUGAAAGAACAUGAAGGAAACCCAAAGCGCACUAAAGGCUUAAAGCUUAGAGAGAAAGAAGCCUCCUCCACCUGUUUCCAUUUUAGAGAGAGAGAGAGAGAGAGAGAGAGAGAGAGGAUUAUGGGGACCAGCUGAGCAUCAAAUCCAAGCCAACUGUAUCCAUCACAGGCUGACCACCGUUGCAAUUCAUGCAAUUUGCAGUCGACAGACAAAGAUCUCACUCCCCAUUUCCAUCGUCUUGCAAUGGAUUUUCUCUCUAUUUAGUUAAUUUAUAAAAUCAUUUAUAUGAGCACCUAUUUCGAUUGA
Non-coding RNA from Malus domestica (apple), 1550 nucleotides. The record is from RefSeq and is a predicted model, not a curated record. Lineage: Eukaryota; Viridiplantae; Streptophyta; Magnoliopsida; Rosales; Rosaceae.